Molecule: ribosomal RNA, 433 nt
Filed under: uncultured bacterium
Lineage: Bacteria
Description: partial 16S ribosomal RNA
Rfam family: Bacterial small subunit ribosomal RNA
Source: RNAcentral
AGCGAACGCUGGCGGCAGGCUUAACACAUGCAAGUCGAGCGGGCACUUCGGUGUCAGCGGCAGACGGGUGAGUAACACGUGGGAACGUACCCUUCGGUUCGGAAUAACGCUGGGAAACUAGCGCUAAUACCGGAUACGCCCUUUUGGGGAAAGGUUUACUGCCGAAGGAUCGGCCCGCGUCUGAUUAGCUAGUUGGUGGGGUAAUGGCCUACCAAGGCGACGAUCAGUAGCUGGUCUGAGAGGAUGAUCGGCCACACUGGGACUGAGACACGGCCCAGACUCCUACGGGAGGCAGCAGUGGGGAAUAUUGGACAAUGGGCGCAAGCCUGAUCCAGCCAUGCCGCGUGAGUGAUGAAGGCCUUAGGGUUGUAAAGCUCUUUUGUCCGGGACGAUAAUGACGGUACCGGAAGAAUAAGCCCCGGCUAACUUCGUG